CACUCCAGCAAGCAGGAAGAGGAAGGUGGUAAUCGUGUCAGUGAUUCUCAGAGAAGGAAUGGAGGUGGAGUGUGGGCUCUGGGCUCCGCUUGUGACAGUGGCUUUAUGAGCAGCCAAGAGACCAAGAGGUGACAGACUUUAUUUCUAGUGCAUGUCUACUUGGAUGCCCUUUCCUCCCUACGGGCUACAACCCGCUGGAGCUGGAUGGCGUUUACUGUUCCCUCUGCAACCUUCCCAUGAAGCCACCUGGGGAUUAAGUUUUCCAUUUUACUCUUCCUUGAUCAAGCCUACCAUUUUCAUAAUGAGUCCAUGCA
Mus musculus (house mouse) is the source of this 314-nucleotide long non-coding RNA. RefSeq annotates it as predicted gene, 31037. The record is from RefSeq and is a predicted model, not a curated record. The transcript is spliced from 4 exons. NCBI's taxonomy places the organism in Eukaryota, Metazoa, Chordata, Mammalia, Rodentia, Muridae.